Molecule: ribosomal RNA, 495 nt
Filed under: marine sediment bacterium ISA-3065
Lineage: Bacteria
Description: bacterial SSU rRNA
Rfam family: Bacterial small subunit ribosomal RNA
Source: RNAcentral
GGCAGGCCUAACACAUGCAAGUCGAGCGGUAACAGGAAGGAGCUUGCUUCUUUGCUGACGAGCGGCGGACGGGUGAGUAAUGCCUGGGAAUAUGCCUUAGUGUGGGGGAUAACUAUUGGAAACGAUAGCUAAUACCGCAUAACGUCUACGGACCAAAGAGGGGGACCUUCGGGCCUCUCGCGCUAAGAUUAGCCCAGGUGGGAUUAGCUAGUUGGUGGGGUAAAGGCUCACCAAGGCAACGAUCCCUAGCUGGUCUGAGAGGAUGAUCAGCCACACUGGAACUGAGACACGGUCCAGACUCCUACGGGAGGCAGCAGUGGGGAAUAUUGCACAAUGGGGGAAACCCUGAUGCAGCCAUGCCGCGUGUAUGAAGAAGGCCUUCGGGUUGUAAAGUACUUUCAGUCGUGAGGAAGACGUAGUAGUUAAUAGUUGUAAUGUUUGACGUUAGCGACAGAGACGCCCCGGCUAACUCCGUGCCAGCAGCCGCGGUAAUAC